CUAAAGAAAGAGUAAAAUCUCCUCCUAUUGCUACUUUCAGGACUAUUUACUAGAUUUAUAUAGUUAUGAAAAUCUAACUAACUGACAAAGCGUCUAUUCACAUCGUAGUUUUCUUCGAGAUUGGGUUGGUGUUCAGUGUACCGAGUACAAGAUGGAAAAGAAUACGAGGCAUUCUAAGUGAGAUGUCCAAAAUAAAAGGAACGAUGGGGAGAAUCGAUGAGGAAUCUAGAACAUAAAAUCAUGAAUGAAAAAGCGUGAGGAGAAUUCUCAACUCGAGAUGUUAGAAGGUGCAAAAUAAAUUGGUGUCGGAGCUGCUACAACUACUUCAGCGGAAGCUGCUGUCGAUUUUGGAAACGUCCUUAGUUCCUUGAUUCAUUCCGUGGCAUGAAAUCCAUCAUGACUGAACAAUUAUUUGGUUAUGCCAUUUUGGGCUUUGCUCUGACCAAGGUAAUUGCCUUGUUUGCAUUAAUGAUGGCCUUUUGAUCUCGUCCAUAUUCUGAUCAAAGAAAGAAAGGCAGGGAGGCUAUUCCCUGAAAAUGCCUCGCCCAUAGGUUCCUUUGUUGUUGGGGCUUACAAUUCACCUUGUGACUCAUUCCUUCAAUCAACCAUUCUUUGGGCAUUAAUCCAUCUAUCACUCAAUCAUAGGCCGCUCCGUCAUUGUCUUUGUUUUAGUAUGUCGCUCUACGAGUAAGGAACGAAAGUCUUUUUGAUCACACUCGAAUGUAUCUACUUAUCAUAUUUAUCAGUAGUUUCGUAACAAGUUUUGUUGAACGUUUUCUAGGAGCAGAAGGAAUCGAUAUAAUGACCACAAGUUAGAAUAUCGCGAUUUUUGCAAUACUGAUUAUCGGCUUAAUCUUUAUCUUUUGUCAUUAUUGUUUUCGUUGGAAAAAGCUGUACGGCUUUCAACUUGUCUUUAUUAUAUAUAUCCAUUCUAUUGUGUUGCUCUUUCUUGUCCUAUUUUAUCCGCAUUUAU
Molecule: long non-coding RNA, 973 nt
Filed under: Olea europaea subsp. europaea
Lineage: Eukaryota; Viridiplantae; Streptophyta; Magnoliopsida; Lamiales; Oleaceae
Source: RNAcentral